UUCAGGAGUGGAGCUGGUCUCUGAUGGACUGAAGAGUCCACAAUGCACUCUGGAGACUCUCAGUCUGUCAGGCUGUCUGAUCUCAGAGAAGGCUGUCUUCUCUGGUCUCAGCUCUGAGCUCCAACCCCUCCCAUCUGAGAGAGCUGGACCUAGCUACAA
Molecule: long non-coding RNA, 159 nt
Organism: Etheostoma spectabile (orangethroat darter)
Lineage: Eukaryota; Metazoa; Chordata; Actinopteri; Perciformes; Percidae
Exons: 2
Source: RefSeq, a predicted model, not a curated record